GCGGCAAUAGUGUAACGGAUAGAACACGCAUUCCCGGAAAGAAUGAGGUGCGGGUUCUAGUCCCGCCUGGCGCG
Non-coding RNA from Parelaphostrongylus tenuis, 74 nucleotides. Lineage: Eukaryota; Metazoa; Nematoda; Chromadorea; Rhabditida; Metastrongylidae. The record is from the annotation of a GenBank genome assembly.